Molecule: ribosomal RNA, 120 nt
Filed under: uncultured bacterium
Lineage: Bacteria
Description: partial 16S ribosomal RNA
Rfam family: Bacterial small subunit ribosomal RNA
Source: RNAcentral
CACGCCGUAAACGAUGAAUGCCAGACGUCGGGUAGCAUGCUAUUCGGUGUCACACCUAACGGAUUAAGCAUUCCGCCUGGGGAGUACGGCCGCAAGGUUAAAACUCAAAGGAAUUGACGG